This 253-nucleotide ribosomal RNA is filed under the name uncultured prokaryote. Its description in RNAcentral is "partial 16S ribosomal RNA". It matches the Rfam family "Bacterial small subunit ribosomal RNA", at positions 525 to 777 of the family's 1533-position model. The record is from RNAcentral.
ACGUAGGGUGCGAGCGUUAAUCGGAAUUACUGGGCGUAAAGCGUGCGCAGGCGGUUUGUUGUGUCGGCGGUGAAAGCCCCGGGCUCAACCUGGGAAUGGCCGUUGAAACUGGCGACCUAGAGUGCGGUAGAGGGUAGCGGAAUUCCCGGUGUAGCAGUGAAAUGCGUAGAUAUCGGGAGGAACAUCCGUGGCGAAGGCGGCUACCUGGACCAGCACUGACACUGAGGCACGAAAGCGUGGGGAGCAAACAGGA